UACAGAGGUCCCAAGCGUUGUUCGGAUUCACUGGGCGUAAAGGGUGCGUAGGCGGUCGGCUAGUCCGGGGUGAAAGCCCCCAGCUCAACUGGGGAAGGGCCUUGGAAACUGCCGGUCUUGAGGGAGGUAGGGGCCUGUGGAACUUCUGGUGGAGCGGUGAAAUGCGUUGAUAUCCGAAGGAACGCCGGUGGCGAAAGCGACGGGCUGGAUCUCUUCUGACGCUGAGGCGCGAAAGCUAGGGUAGCGAACGGG
This 252-nucleotide ribosomal RNA is filed under the name uncultured bacterium. RNAcentral's name for it is "partial 16S ribosomal RNA". It matches the Rfam family "Bacterial small subunit ribosomal RNA", at positions 524 to 776 of the family's 1533-position model. The record is from RNAcentral.